GGCGCUCAAAGGUUCCCUCAGAAUGGUUGGAAAUCAUUCAUAGAGUGUAAAGGCAUAAGGGAGCUUGACUGCGAGACCUACAAGUCGAGCAGGGUCGAAAGACGGACUUAGUGAUCCGGUGGUUCCGCAUGGAAGGGCCAUCGCUCAACGGAUAAAAGCUACCCCGGGGAUAACAGGCUUAUCUCCCCCAAGAGUUCACAUCGACGGGGAGGUUUGGCACCUCGAUGUCGGCUCAUCGCAUCCUGGGGCUGUAGUCGGUCCCAAGGGUUGGGCUGUUCGCCCAUUAAAGCGGUACGCGAGCUGGGUUCAGAACGUCGUGAGACAGUUCGGUCCCUAUCCGUCGUGGGCGUAGGAAAUUUGAGAGGAGCUGUCCUUAGUACGAGAGGACCGGGAUGGACAUACCUCUGGUGUACCAGUUGUCGUGCCAACGGCAUAGCUGGGUAGCUAUGUGUGGACGGGAUAAGUGCUGAAAGCAUCUAAGCAUGAAGCCCCCCUCAAGAUGAGAUUUCCCAACUUCGGUUAUAAGAUCCCUCAAAGAUGAUGAGGUUAAUAGGUUCGAGGUGGAAGCAUGGUGACAUGUGGAGCUGACGAAUACUAA
Molecule: ribosomal RNA, 598 nt
Filed under: Staphylococcus aureus
Lineage: Bacteria; Bacillati; Bacillota; Bacilli; Caryophanales; Staphylococcaceae
Description: partial 23S ribosomal RNA
Rfam family: Bacterial large subunit ribosomal RNA
Source: RNAcentral